UAGGGAAUCUUCGGCAAUGGACGAAAGUCUGACCGAGCAACGCCGCGGGAGUGAAGAAGGUUUUCGGAUCGUAAAACUCUGUUGUUAGAGAAGAACAAGGACGUUAGUAACUGAACGUCCCCUGACGGUAUCUAACCAGAAAGCCACGGCUAACUACGUGCCAGCAGCCGCGGUAAUACGUAGGUGGCAAGCGUUGUCCGGAUUUAUUGGGCGUAAAGCGAGCGCAGGCGGUUUCUUAAGUCUGAUGUGAAAGCCCCCGGCUCAACCGGGGAGGGUCAUUGGAAACUGGGAGACUUGAGUGCAGAAGAGGAGAGUGGAAUUCCAUGUGUAGCGGUGAAUUGCGUAGAUAUAUGGAGGAACACCAGUGGCGAAAGCGGCUCUCUGGUCUGUACCUGACGAUGAGGCUGGAAAGCGUGGGGAGCAAACAGG
This 429-nucleotide ribosomal RNA is filed under the name Gemmatimonadota bacterium. RNAcentral's name for it is "Gemmatimonadetes bacterium partial 16S ribosomal RNA". It matches the Rfam family "Bacterial small subunit ribosomal RNA", at positions 355 to 776 of the family's 1533-position model. The record is from RNAcentral. Lineage: Bacteria; Pseudomonadati; Gemmatimonadota.